AAAGCAAACCGGCUUAUCGCCCCGACUUGUCGGGGAGGAAAGUCCGGGCAACAUAGGGCACCGUACUUCCUAACGGGAAGGGUUCUUCGCAGGAGGAAAACAGAUAGCGCCACAGAAAACAAACUACUCGUCCCGACUUGUCGGGAUGGGAAAAGGUGAAAAGGUGAGGUAAGAGCUCACCGGCAUAUCAGUGAUGAUGUGAGCAUGGCAAGCCUUACGGGUUGAAAGGCCAAAUAGGCCACGCUUCGAAAGAUGCCGCGGCCCGCGGCAUGCGCAAGCUGGCGUGGUUGGGUAGGCUGCUCGAUCGUGCAGGCGACUGUACGGCUAGAUAAAUGAUAGGCACCCCGACUUGUCGGGGUACAGAACCCGGCUUACAGGUUUGCUUUUAUU
This 390-nucleotide RNase P RNA is filed under the name Bacteroidota bacterium. RNAcentral's name for it is "Bacteroidetes bacterium (groundwater metagenome) RNase P RNA component class A". It matches the Rfam family "Bacterial RNase P class A". From Rfam's summary of the family: Ribonuclease P (RNase P) is a ubiquitous endoribonuclease, found in archaea, bacteria and eukarya as well as chloroplasts and mitochondria. Its best characterised activity is the generation of mature 5'-ends of tRNAs by cleaving the 5'-leader elements of precursor-tRNAs. Cellular RNase Ps are ribonucleoproteins. The record is from RNAcentral. Lineage: Bacteria; Pseudomonadati; Bacteroidota.